This 627-nucleotide ribosomal RNA is filed under the name Mycobacterium sp. So2Pt_42. RNAcentral's name for it is "bacterial SSU rRNA". It matches the Rfam family "Bacterial small subunit ribosomal RNA", at positions 387 to 1024 of the family's 1533-position model. The record is from RNAcentral. Lineage: Bacteria; Bacillati; Actinomycetota; Actinomycetes; Mycobacteriales; Mycobacteriaceae.
UGCAGCGACGCCGCGUGAGGGAUGACGGCCUUCGGGUUGUAAACCUCUUUCAAUAGGGACGAAGCGCAAGUGACGGUACCUAUAGAAGAAGGACCGGCCAACUACGUGCCAGCAGCCGCGGUAAUACGUAGGGUCCGAGCGUUGUCCGGAAUUACUGGGCGUAAAGAGCUCGUAGGUGGUUUGUCGCGUUGUUCGUGAAAACUCACAGCUCAACUGUGGGCGUGCGGGCGAUACGGGCAGACUAGAGUACUGCAGGGGAGACUGGAAUUCCUGGUGUAGCGGUGGAAUGCGCAGAUAUCAGGAGGAACACCGGUGGCGAAGGCGGGUCUCUGGGCAGUAACUGACGCUGAGGAGCGAAAGCGUGGGGAGCGAACAGGAUUAGAUACCCUGGUAGUCCACGCCGUAAACGGUGGGUACUAGGUGUGGGUUUCCUUCCUUGGGAUCCGUGCCGUAGCUAACGCAUUAAGUACCCCGCCUGGGGAGUACGGCCGCAAGGCUAAAACUCAAAGAAAUUGACGGGGGCCCGCACAAGCGGCGGAGCAUGUGGAUUAAUUCGAUGCAACGCGAAGAACCUUACCUGGGUUUGACAUGCACAGGACGCCGGCAGAGAUGUCGGUUCCCUUGUGG